GCUAUUUGGUCAUCCUCCAUAUUGGUGUCUGUGGUCUUCUAGCCCGAAGCCAGGGGCUGGCUUAGUUCUGCAAGUCUUGGCUGAAGCAACGCAGCAACAAGUGGUGACCCCGACGUGAUUCGUUCGGAGGGCAGAGGUGUAGCUCGCGAGCAUGGAUGUAACGAUUAAGGGCUCGGGUGCCGGGGAAAAGAAGCAUAAAACACCGGGGGACCUUGUGGAGGAACCUGCCCCGGGGGAACUUAUGGAGGAACUUAACAAAACGAUGAAUAUGCUAAAGGCACAGACAAAGAUACAGAGACGCACCUUGGAGCGGCUGGGCGAAACCCCGCCCCCUGUGGCGCAGCCAAAUUGGAACUUGAUUGCGAAAGACUGUGUGCUAAGUGGCGUAACCCUAGAAGCUGUACCUGCAGCAGCGCCUCCACAGGCGUUCCCUGUUCAGGUUGGGCCACAAGGAGGAGCUAUGUGGACGCCCCUAGACGCUAAGUUGGUUCAGGCCCUUCACAGGGCAAUAAAAGAGGAAGGUUUGUCGAGCGAAACCACACCUAUGCUGCUCGACUCCGCCCACGUCCAGCCACUAGCCCCUGCCGACGCUAGGCAGCUGGCAAGGGCGGUGCUAGCUGGCCCGCUAUUCCUUGUCUGGAAGGAGGCGUGGUAUCUCGACCUGCAAGCCCGCAUACAAGCUGCAACGACAGAUCCCACUCUAAUAUUUUAAAUCAAGCCCUGUUAGCUUUAAAUCACUAUGUUAGAGGAUACGAACAGUACUCGCCAAUGGAAAAACAGUAUCUAAAACAACAAGUAGCUACCUUUCCCCAGGUGCGUGUUAAAUUUCCAGGGGAACUACAGUGGGAAUCUGGGUGGAGGCUGCGUACAAUUGGAAGAGGGUAUGCAGCGGUAGAAAAGGAGGGAUUACUGAGAUGGGUGCCUAGCAGAUGUGUUAGGGCGGAAUUAAAGGAGACAGAUAACUGAUAAUCAUGCAAUCAGAAUAAAACUAAUGAAAAUUGUGAGUUCUUGUCCGCAGGACUGGAUUGUCGGAUGCCCUCGCAACCCGUACGUCUCAGUGACGAAUGAAGAUGACAAGUAAGAGGAUCAGACCUGAUGCUUCUACAGCAAGGGGGAGUGUGCGCUGCACUAGAGGAAGAGUGUUGUGUAUAUGCAAACCACACCGGAAUAGUAAGAGACACUAUGGCUAAAUUGCGGAAAGGUUUGGAAAAACGAAAGAGGGAACGAGAGGCACAGCAAGGUUGGUUUACGUCAUGGUUUAACCAUUCACCAUGGCUGACCACCCUGAUGUCUACCUAAUGGGACCAAUCACAAUGAUUGUAAUAGCAGUGAUUUUUGGACGCUGUCAAGCUCGUUUCAUUUGUUAAAAGUCGACCAGAGAGUGUUAGCAUUAUGUUAAUAGCACAUCAACGAUUGCUCUAAGACUAUUUCCGUUUGAAAUUCCUUUUAGCUAUCCCUAGUUAUACACCACUACUCUCAGUUGUCCCCCAGUUAUCCUGUUUAGCGUGCCUUAUAUUUUCUAUCUAAACUUAUGAUGUAUAUUUCUAAAUUUUUGUAAAAAAUAGCGUAGAAACAGCACACAUUUGCUAGGUUUGCACCAAGUUUUAUGAUAUGUAUUUUUAGGAUUGUUUUAUCUUAAUCACCUUAUUUGUGCAUGGGGAGGGGGAAAUGUAGGUAGUUAAGGUCUGGCGGCCGGAAGAUAUCGCGAUGUACGGAAAGAGAGAGCCCCUCCCCGGAUACUCUCACAAGCCCCAUAGCAUGGAGAGGGGAAUUGUGGGGCGAGGCUCAGCAAUACCAUAAAAGGUAAAAAUUGUUAACCUGCCUUCUGAUUGGGUCAGCAUAGGUACUUCCGUGUGGCCGAAAGGCAUAUAAUGCCUGCUGUUGUUUAAUAAAACGCUAUUUGGUCAUCCUCCAUA
This 1916-nucleotide long non-coding RNA is filed under the name Strigops habroptila (Kakapo). RNAcentral describes it as "lncRNA (ENSSHBG00005009865.1)". Lineage: Eukaryota; Metazoa; Chordata; Aves; Psittaciformes; Psittacidae. The record is from RNAcentral.